CAGCAGUCGCCGCGGGAACACGGAGGGUGCAAGCGUUAAUCGGAAUUACUGGGCGUAAAGCGCACGCAGGCGGUCUGUCAAGUCAGAUGUGAAAUCCCCGGGCUCAACCUGGGAACUGCAUUCAAAACUGGCAAGCUAGAGUAUGGUAGAGGGUGGUGGAAUUUCCUGUGUAGCGGUGAAAUGCGUAGAUAUAGGAAGGAACACCAGUGGCGAAGGCGACCACCUGGACUGAUACUGACACUGAGGUGCGAAAGCGUGGGGAGCAAACAGGAUUAGAUACCCCGGUAGUCCCUGUCUCUUAUAC
Molecule: ribosomal RNA, 304 nt
Filed under: uncultured bacterium
Lineage: Bacteria
Description: partial 16S ribosomal RNA
Rfam family: Bacterial small subunit ribosomal RNA
Source: RNAcentral